UCUGAAAGUCUGCAUUGGAAGGAACCGUUUAUCAGCCUUUCUUCAGUCUGCAGCAAGUUAUGUAAGCAUCUCUAGGUACCCCAUGUCGCCUGACCGAUAACAACUACCAAGCUACUGUUUUACUAUGAGUCAUGUCCAUCAAGGAAACAUUUGUCGGUGAAUCUAAAUGUUCUCCUUUCUGGCCAGAGGUGUUUGAGUGUGUGUGAGAUGCUUGUUGUGGACACCUUGGGUUGACAGGUCUUUCCAUGGACACAGACAUCACUGAAGGUGACAUCAUAUAGUGCAGCUAACAGUGUGUAUGUUCCUGAGACGGUUACUGCCUUUUAUUUUCCAUGUAUUUUUCUAGCUUUUAAUGUUUCAUUAUUGUUCUUUACAUGUUUGUAUUUCCUCUUAUUCAGUCAAAGGACUGCACUGCUGAACGGAUCUGCAAAGACCUGGAACAAAUAUGGGAAGUCUUGCACCCCAGCCUCUUCAACUCCACACCCCUGGUAUUAACCCAGGCACACAGGCCCAGUGGAUUAACAACAGCCUUCCCAGAACAGUGGUGUUUACUCGGGAACAAAACCAGCAGCUAUUGAACCUUUUUUCUCUCUUUUAUUCUAUUGGCGCAUAUCUGAAGUAUAGUUGAAGAGCAUUGAGAAUACAUUAGAUACUGUUUCUCAAUGUAUCUCUAUACAAGCGAGGUAUCAAAAGUAUUAUUCAUUGUGCGGCUCCAACAAGUGAUCGUGGGGCAAAUAACUGUUAAACAGUUCCUAUGCAAAAGCAAAGAGAAUGGUGCAAUGCUUAAAUUUUACUAUGAGAGAUUGAGAGUUUUCUUAGGGUUUUUAAAAAGAUUGGGAUAUCCAUUUCCACAUCGUAAAUCUAAUGUUGAACAUCGUAAUUGAAGAAGGCAUUCGCUUGUUUCUUAC
Long non-coding RNA from Oncorhynchus tshawytscha (Chinook salmon), 908 nucleotides. The record is from Ensembl. NCBI's taxonomy places the organism in Eukaryota, Metazoa, Chordata, Actinopteri, Salmoniformes, Salmonidae.